Molecule: ribosomal RNA, 440 nt
Filed under: uncultured bacterium
Lineage: Bacteria
Description: bacterial SSU rRNA
Rfam family: Bacterial small subunit ribosomal RNA
Source: RNAcentral
AACGCGAAGAACCUUACCUGGGCUCGAAGCACAGUGGACCGGGGUAGAAAUAUCCCUUUUCGCAAGAACUGCUGUGGAGGUGCUGCAUGGCUGUCGUCAGCUCGUGUCGUGAGAUGUUGGGUUAAGUCCCGCAACGAGCGCAACCCUUAUCGUUAGUUGCCAGCGAGUCAAGUCGGGCACUCUAGCGAAACCGCCCCGGAUAACGGGGAGGAAGGUGGGGAUGACGUCAAGUCCUCAUGGCCUUUAUGUCCAGGGCUACACACGUGCUACAAUGGUCGGUACAAACCGUCGCAAACCUGCGAAGGGGAGCUAAUCGGAAAAAGCCGGCCUCAGUUCGGAUUGGAGUCUGCAACUCGACUCCAUGAAGCUGGAAUCGCUAGUAAUCGCGGAUCAGCACGCCGCGGUGAAUACGUUCCCGGGCCUUGUACACACCGACGCAC